RNAcentral lists this long non-coding RNA (390 nucleotides) under Jatropha curcas. Its description in RNAcentral is "long non-coding RNA (JCUR_LNC003576)". The record is from RNAcentral. Lineage: Eukaryota; Viridiplantae; Streptophyta; Magnoliopsida; Malpighiales; Euphorbiaceae.
AUAAUCAAUCCAGCAGUAGAUUAUUGUGCUCUACCAAUGUCAUAACGUAUAUUUUUGGUACUUCCAUGCAUGCAAGUGAUUAAAUGUUUUCUCCGGGAGGUAACUCUGCAAGCUUUGAUGGUGUACCAAGCACUCUUUCCAUAUCAAAUCGAACUUCAAUGUUGCGAAUGCUGUAUCCAACCACCAUUAGCCAAUAAAGCAGUUUGGCAAGUUCUGCUGCACUGGUCUCUGUUAUGCUUGUCUGUGACCAGAAAUGAAGUUUGAAAAAAUUCAAAACUGAAAUUUAUUUCAACAAACAUUAAGUUCAAAAACAAGAACAAGUGCAGUUACUUGCAUCAACCCUUUAAAAAAAGCUCGAUGCAUAAAACUUUCCAAUUAACAUCCAGGUGU